CUUUGGUCAUGUACUUCACUCACCUCUUCUCUUUUUCACCUUCACUUCUCCCUUCUCUUCCCCCUCCCUCUUUCCUGGCUGCAUCCUUCUUUCUUAAGGCUUUACCCCAUAAAGACAAAGAAACUGGCUGAGGAGACAAAAGAAAGAAAGUAGCAGAAGCUGGUAAGGAAACAGGUGAGUGACAUCUGACUUAGCUGAUUAAGAGAGCUUGAUCCUUUUGGAGGGCGUGGCAGGUGCUUGCUCUGUCGCCCAGGCUGGAGUGCAGUGGUACGAUCAUAGCUCCCUGUAUCCUCGAGCUGCUGAGCUCAAGGGAUCCUCCAGCCUCAGCCUCCAGAGUAGCUGGGACUACAUGUUAAUUUUUUUUUUUUUAAUGUUUUGCUUUUUUAGAGACAGGGUCUCACUUGUGUUGCCAAGAGAGCUUGAGCAUCAACUGGCAGUGAGGACAGCCGGAAAGCAACCGACUUACCCCUCUCACCAGACCUUCCAACUGUCUGCCACACUGGCAUUGCCGUGUAUCCCUGCAUCUUGUUGAUCCCAUUGUGGCAUUGUGGUCAGAGAAUAUACAACUCGCUGAAGAAUCCAUUGUUUAUGGACAUUCCUGGGAUUGUAUUCAUUUAAAUAUCUUUAUGUACAUUGUAGUGGAAUAUAAUACAAAAAUGGAGUUGCAUGAAAAAUGAAGGUACCGCUCAGUAAAUGGUUCCACAGGGACAUCUGAUCCCCUACGAUCUGGGUUAAGAAAUGGUGUACUGUAUUGCUGGCAGCUCAAAAGCACUCUCAUGCCAGUCACUCUUGUCUUCCACCUCGGCCAAUCUAACCACUCUUGUGACUUUUAACACUUGAAGAUAAUCCCGCCUGUUUGUGAACGCAUUACACGUACGUAGAAUCAGUACAGUACAUAUUUUACAGUACAUAUUUUAUAAUCUGGGUUUCUCUUGGUUUUUCAGUAAGGUUUUUCUCCUUACUAUUGACUUCUGUCGUGCUGUGUAGCUGAAUUUCGUUUCUUUGCCUUCCUGCGCAGUAUUUUGAAUUGUAUGACAAUGCCACAAUUUAUUCGUGCC
RNAcentral lists this long non-coding RNA (1058 nucleotides) under Macaca mulatta (Rhesus monkey). Its description in RNAcentral is "lncRNA (ENSMMUG00000064672.1)". The record is from RNAcentral. Lineage: Eukaryota; Metazoa; Chordata; Mammalia; Primates; Cercopithecidae.